AGAGACCGGCGCACGGGUGCGUAACGCGUAUGCAAUCUACCUUUUACAGAGGGAUAGCCCAGAGAAAUUUGGAUUAAUACCUCAUAGUAUAGCUGUACCGCAUGGUACUACUAUUAAAGUCACAACGGUAAAAGAUGAGCAUGCGUCCCAUUAGCUUGUUGGUAAGGUAACGGCUUACCAAGGCAACGAUGGGUAGGGGUCCUGAGAGGGAGAUCCCCCACACUGGUACUGAGACACGGACCAGACUCCUACGGGAGGCAGCAGUGAGGAAUAUUGGUCAAUGGGCGCAAGCCUGAACCAGCCAUGCCGCGUGCAGGAUGACGGUCCUAUGGAUUGUAAACUGCUUUUAUACAGGAAGAAACAACUCUACGUGUAGAGUCUUGACGGUACUGUAGGAAUAAGGAUCGGCUAACUCCGUGCCAGCAGCCGCGGUAAUACGGAGGAUCCAAGCGUUAUCCGGAAUCAUUGGGUUUAAAGGGUCCGUAGGCGGUCUAAUAAGUCAGUGGUGAAAUCCUUCCGCUUAACGGGAGA
Molecule: ribosomal RNA, 531 nt
Filed under: uncultured Flavobacterium sp.
Lineage: Bacteria; Pseudomonadati; Bacteroidota; Flavobacteriia; Flavobacteriales; Flavobacteriaceae
Description: bacterial SSU rRNA
Rfam family: Bacterial small subunit ribosomal RNA
Source: RNAcentral